ACUUCACUGUAACUACGUAGAGCACGCAGGUUUUAAAUCUUCUGAUACCAUGCCGGCUUCUUGUUUGAUUCUUGGAGGUGCCAUCGACCCCAGAAAUCUCGGACCCGGAGAAAGAGAGCGUCAUAGAAGAAUGGCUGAAUCCUUACAGAGUGACAUAGAACGUAUCUUCAAGUUUGCCGCUGGUCAUUCAGAAAGAACUCGACAGGGAUAUCACCACGGCAUGAAGGUUAAGUCAAUCCUCCUUAACAAAGGCAUUAAAAGCGACAUUCAUGGGCAGGUAUCCAGGUCUCUGAGAAGUAAAGGUGGUGCGCAUCACUCUCUCUUCGAAAAAUCUAUGACUAAACCCUACACAAACAAGGAUACGGUUCGCCAUGAGAUUCGUUCCUUUCUGCAGAAUGAUUUGAGUGACAACCUCAUCAUUUUCAUGAUCGGGCAUGGUGGGCAGAAUAUGAGGCAAGGUGGCAAGGUAGUAGAAAGCUUUCUGCUGCCACAGCAAGGAUCGAGUCGUAAUGACGUUUAUACUGACGCUGAGCUCACGCAGGACAUUGUGGCCGCACUGCCGCCCCGCAAGAAGCUGUACAUUGUCAUGCACUGCUGCCACUCAGGUGGCAUGGUCAAUUUCUGGCAGCUGGACACAAACAAGCAGGUCGCACUUUUCGCCAGUGCAGAAGCCGACAUUCAAGUCCCAUGGAGCACUGAUCGAGACUUAAACUUCAUCUCCAUGUUCUGCUCAAAGGCAAUUGCCGGAAAGCAAUUGAACACUAUCGCGGAUGAAAUUUAUCAGGCCCUCUAUCGGGUUCCAACCGUCCGGCCGGUCUUCAAAACCACUUAUCCAGCUAUGGUGAUCGAACAGUUCUUGUACUAGAAUAACAUGUUUGAACACCAGUACAAUACUUCUUUCAGCGUGAAUGGUGAAUAAAUUUAAAAAUCAUUAUUUUAUGCUACUUUUGUCAAAAGUAUACUCUCUGUAAGAUAUUAAGCCUGUACAAUACCAGUACAUUGAUAUGCAAGUUGCCAUAUUCCCAACUAAACUAGUACAUUGAUAUGCAAGUUGCCAUAUUCCCAACUAAACUAGUACAUUGAUAUGCAAGUUGCCAUAUUCCCAACUAAACUAGUACAUUGAUAUGCAAGUUGCCAUAUUCCCAACUAAACUAGUACAUUGAUAUGCAAGUUGCCAUAUUCCCAACUAAACUAGAACUUGCACAUGAACUACUAAAGUUUGGGUAUCCACAGAGUAAACAUUAGUUAGUAGCUUAGUGAUUGGAUUAGUUAGUAGCUUAGUGAUUGGAUUAUCAGCUUAGUGAUUGGAUUAUCAGCUUAGUGAUUGGAUUAUCAGCUUAGUGAUUGGAUUAUCAGCUUAGUGAUUGGAUUAUCAGCUUAGUGAUUGGAUUAUCAGCUUAGUGAUUGGAUUAUCAGCUUAGUGAUUGGAUUAUCAGCUUAGUGAUUGGAUUAUCAGCUUAGUGAUUGGAUUAUCAGCUUAGUGAUUGGA
Sycon ciliatum is the source of this 1489-nucleotide long non-coding RNA. RefSeq lists it as uncharacterized. Lineage: Eukaryota; Metazoa; Porifera; Calcarea; Leucosolenida; Sycettidae. The record is from RefSeq and is a predicted model, not a curated record. The transcript is spliced from 3 exons.